Molecule: ribosomal RNA, 1152 nt
Filed under: Bacillus pumilus
Lineage: Bacteria; Bacillati; Bacillota; Bacilli; Caryophanales; Bacillaceae
Description: bacterial SSU rRNA
Rfam family: Bacterial small subunit ribosomal RNA
Source: RNAcentral
UAGAGUUUGAUCCUGGCUCAGGACGAACGCUGGCGGCGUGCCUAAUACAUGCAAGUCGAGCGGACAGAAGGGAGCUUGCUCCCGGAUGUUAGCGGCGGACGGGUGAGUAACACGUGGGUAACCUGCCUGUAAGACUGGGAUAACUCCGGGAAACCGGAGCUAAUACCGGAUAGUUCCUUGAACCGCAUGGUUCAAGGAUGAAAGACGGUUUCGGCUGUCACUUACAGAUGGACCCGCGGCGCAUUAGCUAGUUGGUGGGGUAAUGGCUCACCAAGGCGACGAUGCGUAGCCGACCUGAGAGGGUGAUCGGCCACACUGGGACUGAGACACGGCCCAGACUCCUACGGGAGGCAGCAGUAGGGAAUCUUCCGCAAUGGACGAAAGUCUGACGGAGCAACGCCGCGUGAGUGAUGAAGGUUUUCGGAUCGUAAAGCUCUGUUGUUAGGGAAGAACAAGUGCGAGAGUAACUGCUCGCACCUUGACGGUACCUAACCAGAAAGCCACGGCUAACUACGUGCCAGCAGCCGCGGUAAUACGUAGGUGGCAAGCGUUGUCCGGAAUUAUUGGGCGUAAAGGGCUCGCAGGCGGUUUCUUAAGUCUGAUGUGAAAGCCCCCGGCUCAACCGGGGAGGGUCAUUGGAAACUGGGAAACUUGAGUGCAGAAGAGGAGAGUGGAAUUCCACGUGUAGCGGUGAAAUGCGUAGAGAUGUGGAGGAACACCAGUGGCGAAGGCGACUCUCUGGUCUGUAACUGACGCUGAGGAGCGAAAGCGUGGGGAGCGAACAGGAUUAGAUACCCUGGUAGUCCACGCCGUAAACGAUGAGUGCUAAGUGUUAGGGGGUUUCCGCCCCUUAGUGCUGCAGCUAACGCAUUAAGCACUCCGCCUGGGGAGUACGGUCGCAAGACUGAAACUCAAAGGAAUUGACGGGGGCCCGCACAAGCGGUGGAGCAUGUGGUUUAAUUCGAAGCAACGCGAAGAACCUUACCAGGUCUUGACAUCCUCUGACAACCCUAGAGAUAGGGCUUUCCCUUCGGGGACAGAGUGACAGGUGGUGCAUGGUUGUCGUCAGCUCGUGUCGUGAGAUGUUGGGUUAAGUCCCGCAACGAGCGCAACCCUUGAUCUUAGUUGCCAGCAUUCAGUUGGGCACUCUAA